GACGAACGCUGGCGGCGUGCUUGACACAUGCAAGUCGAACGGAAAGGCCCUGCUUUUGUGGGGUGCUCGAGUGGCGAACGGGUGAGUAACACGUGAGUAACCUGCCCUUGACUUUGGGAUAACUUCAGGAAACUGGGGCUAAUACCGGAUAGGAGCUCCUGCUGCAUGGUGGGGGUUGGAAAGUUUCGGCGGUUGGGGAUGGACUCGCGGCUUAUCAGCUUGUUGGUGGGGUAGUGGCUUACCAAGGCUUUGACGGGUAGCCGGCCUGAGAGGGUGACCGGCCACAUUGGGACUGAGAUACGGCCCAGACUCCUACGGGAGGCAGCAGUGGGGAAUAUUGCACAAUGGGCGGAAGCCUGAUGCAGCAACGCCGCGUGCGGGAUGACGGCCUUCGGGUUGUAAACCGCUUUCGCCUGUGACGAAGCGUGAGUGACGGUAAUGGGUAAAGAAGCACCGGCUAACUACGUGCCAGCAGCCGCGGUGAUACGUAGGGUGCGAGCGUUGUCCGGAUUUAUUGGGCGUAAAGGGCUCGUAGGUGGUUGAUCGCGUCGGAAGUGUAAUCUUGGGGCUUAACCCUGAGCGUGCUUUCGAUACGGGUUGACUUGAGGAAGGUAGGGGAGAAUGGAAUUCCUGGUGGAGCGGUGGAAUGCGCAGAUAUCAGGAGGAACACCAGUGGCGAAGGCGGUUCUCUGGGCCUUUCCUGACGCUGAGGAGCGAAAGCGUGGGGAGCGAACAGGCUUAGAUACCCUGGUAGUCCACGCUGUAAACGGUGGGUACUAGGUGUGGGGUCCAUUCCACGGGUUCCGUGCCGUAGCUAACGCUUUAAGUACCCCGCCUGGGGAGUACGGCCGCAAGGCUAAAACUCAAAGGAAUUGACGGGGCCCCGCACAAGCGGCGGAGCAUGCGGAUUAAUUCGAUGCAACGCGUAGAACCUUACCUGGGUUUGACAUGGAUCGGGAGUGCUCAGAGAUGGGUGUGCCUCUUUUGGGGUCGGUUCACAGGUGGUGCAUGGCUGUCGUCAGCUCGUGUCGUGAGAUGUUGGGUUAAGUCCCGCAACGAGCGCAACCCUUGUUCACUGUUGCCAGCACGUUAUGGUGGGGACUCAGUGGAGACCGCCGGGGUCAACUCGGAGGAAGGUGGGGAUGACGUCAAGUCAUCAUGCCCCUUAUGUCCAGGGCUUCACGCAUGCUACAAUGGCUGGUACAGAGAGUGGCGAGCCUGUGAGGGUGAGCGAAUCUCGGAAAGCCGGUCUCAGUUCGGAUUGGGGUCUGCAACUCGACCUCAUGAAGUCGGAGUCGCUAGUAAUCGCAGAUCAGCAACGCUGCGGUGAAUACGUUCCCGGG
This 1343-nucleotide ribosomal RNA is filed under the name uncultured bacterium. Its description in RNAcentral is "16S ribosomal RNA". It matches the Rfam family "Bacterial small subunit ribosomal RNA", at positions 28 to 1378 of the family's 1533-position model. The record is from RNAcentral.